This is a non-coding RNA of Schizosaccharomyces pombe (fission yeast), 877 nucleotides long. The record is from the annotation of a GenBank genome assembly. NCBI's taxonomy places the organism in Eukaryota, Fungi, Ascomycota, Schizosaccharomycetes, Schizosaccharomycetales, Schizosaccharomycetaceae.
UGCAGAACGCGUGAGGUAUUCUUUAGCAUUAAGUGUUAAUGUAGAGACAGAAAGUAUUGAAAUUUUCGUAAGUCUAUGAGAAUUUACUGCUGGGUUGCUUUGUUACAAAUUGAACUGUGAGGGAACGGGGAAAUAUUCUGUAUGAAAACCGAAAUGACACGAAAUUGAGCAUAACAGAUUGCUUUCUUCAUACUAUAUUUCCUUCCUAAUGUCCGAACAAACAAGGCAAAAUGAUUAAAGUGCUGUGAUUUGUGAUACACCAAAUUUUUGGUUUAGCUCACUGGACAUUAUUCAAUAAGAAUUAUUAAUCACAAUUUAUUUAAUUAAGAACAUGCAGUGAAAUAUAAGAUUACGAAUGGUUUUCAACGGUGUUUAUAAAUUUGUUUACAUGUGAAAAGAUUUAGAAAAAAUGCAAAUUAAACAAGCAUCGAAUUAUGUCUGUGCAUUUAAAAGGGCUAUUCAAUACACUUUUAUAUGAAAAAUCUACCGUUGCAACAAAUUAUAAUCUUGAGAACAAAGCUCUCCUUAUACACCGAUGACACUCCGUGAUCGGACGAAAGAGUGAAUUGAUGAAGGACAUAUAUCCCUUUCUAAUUGGCAAAAAUGAUAGCUUUAAAAUAGUCCAAUUAAAACUCUGUAAUAUUAUUGUAGACUUAAAGAGCAUAUGUCAAUUCUUUAAAGGAACACAACUUGCAAUUUCAUUACACCAACACAGUGGCUCACAGGAUACAAGACAUGAAGUUCUAAAUAUUCAAACAAUACAAAUAUACACAAAUAUAGUACUACGGAAUACUUUUAGAAGAAAAUUACAAAUCCAUUUUUGACUGUAGAUAUCCUAAACGAAUAACAAUUCCAGUGAAAUUCCUCCCAUGUGACA